GACGAACGCUGGCGGCGUGCUUAACACAUGCAAGUCGAACGGAAAGGCCCUGCUUUUGUGGGGUGCUCGAGUGGCGAACGGGUGAGUAACACGUGAGUAACCUGCCCUUGACUUUGGGAUAACUUCAGGAAACUGGGGCUAAUACCGGAUAGGAGCUCCUGCUGCAAGGUGGGGGUUGGAAAGUUUCGGCGGUUGGGGAUGGACUCGCGGCUUAUCAGCUUGUUGGUGGGGUAGUGGCUUACCAAGGCUUUGACGGGUAGCCGGCCUGAGAGGGUGACCGGCCACAUUGGGACUGAGAUACGGCCCAGACUCCUACGGGAGACAGCAGUGGGGAAUAUUGCACAAUGGGCGGAAGCCUGAUGCAGCAACGCCGCGUGCGGGAUGACGGCCUUCGGGUUGUAAACCGCUUUCGCCUGUGACGAAGCGUGAGUGACGGUAAUGGGUAAAGAAGCACCGGCUAACUACGUG
RNAcentral lists this ribosomal RNA (468 nucleotides) under uncultured bacterium. RNAcentral's name for it is "partial 16S ribosomal RNA". It matches the Rfam family "Bacterial small subunit ribosomal RNA", at positions 28 to 507 of the family's 1533-position model. The record is from RNAcentral.